Molecule: long non-coding RNA, 199 nt
Filed under: Ananas comosus (pineapple)
Lineage: Eukaryota; Viridiplantae; Streptophyta; Magnoliopsida; Poales; Bromeliaceae
Description: long non-coding RNA (ACOM_LNC005801)
Source: RNAcentral
ACGACCCUAAUGAACUCUUUUCAUUCCUCCUUCAAAGUGAACCUUUAAUCAGUAUUCCAAUCCCUCUAAUCUCCUCAAAUUAAUCCAAAUUCUACAAUUCCAGCUUGAGGAUUUCAGUUCUUGUAGUUUUCCAGCAGCGACCUUCGGCGUUUUGGCUCGUGUGCGACGUAGGGGAAUCGGAUUGUUACGAAACUUGAUU